RNA transcript from Carassius gibelio (silver crucian carp), 3589 nucleotides. RefSeq lists it as uncharacterized. The record is from RefSeq and is a predicted model, not a curated record. Lineage: Eukaryota; Metazoa; Chordata; Actinopteri; Cypriniformes; Cyprinidae. The transcript is spliced from 21 exons.
CGUUGUUUACGUCCAGGGUCGACAAUCAGGAAUAUCGUUUCAAUAUGUGUACAGUCAGGAUUAUCGUUUUAAUAUGUGUCUCUGCGUGUGGUUAUCUAGAACACAAAUUCAGUUAGGCUGAAAAAUAAAUAGCGUUUGAAAAGCAAAUACCGGGACAUAAGACAAAAGUAAAACUCAAACAGCUUACUUCCUGACACACUCAAUAUGGCAGACUACUGCAACCAGGUUUGAACUUUCCGUAUCGGUGUCAGUGAGACGUAAGUGAUGUUCAUGGACGAAAGGAACCAGAACUGGUUGAAUGACAUUUAAACUAAAACGAUGGAAGAAGUAACAAAUAUGAUUUCCAGCUGUUAUUGUAAAAUUACUUGACGCUGAACGCAUGAGCGGUGCUCGUGCAGUUAAAGAUGUCGCGCGUUACAGCUGAUUUGAAGUAUCAAACACUUCUCGAGUGUAAUUACUGUUACCCUGAGGAGGUGCUUAAUGACGUCAAAGACGUGUCGACGAAUUUCCCUCACCUGCAGUUAUAUGUGGACUAUUAUUUCUAUCCAAACAAUGAUAAGAAGAAGUUGGUUUAUUUGGGUGGCACCGUUCCUGUUACAUAUGAAGGUACUAUGUACAACAUUCCAGUCUGUAUUUGGAUCCAUGAGACCCAUCCCAAAAACCCACCCAGGUGUUUUGUUUGCCCUUCACCCUCCAUGAUCAUCAACGCUGAAAGCGGAAAUGUUGAUGCCAAUGGUCGCAUCCUUCUCCACUGCCUCAACAACUGGAAGAUUGGCUGGUCGAACUUGUCGAUAGUUCUGGAAGAGAUGAUUGCCGCCUUUCAGCGUGAAACUCCUCUGUUUGCAACCCAUCCAGUCCAAACCCCUCCACUGCAUCCUCAAGCAAAACACCUGCAAGCUGAACUGGUAGUUCAACCGAAUCCUGUUUUGUCUUAUGGCAGCUGGCCACAUACGGGCAGCAGUUCAGUGCAAAAAAUGUCAACAGCUCAACAUGGAGCGUCCAUCUCAUCUGUGCCUCAGCAUGCCAGCAACAGCCUACCCAAGAGUACAAAGUCCCAGAUGAACCUGAAUCAAGCCAGUGAAACAGAUAUGAGCGGGGUAAGGAGAUCAUACACGCAAGAGCUGCUGGAUUUCGGGAUCACGUUUGGUGCUCAAGCUUUGGAGACUAACCACCAAACAAACCCAUUUAUUUCUCCUGCCUCAGUUCCCACCAGCAAUGCUUCUAAUGUUGAUGACAUAGACGACCUGUUCAAAAGCCUUCAAUUACAAAGAGUUGUCAACAUGUACCAGUUGAGCAACAGGGACAAAGAUGUUCAUCAUGCUGGAGGAGUGUGGCAGGAUUGUGGUGGUGGAGUUCAGUCCAGCUUAGUGGAUGAUUGUCACAAGGUUGUGGUAAGCCGGCUUCCUGUGGGCGUCUCUCCCAGCAAGAUGAAGAACAAGCUCAUCAUCUUCUUCCAGCGGAGACAGAAUGCAGGAGGAGAGGUUCUAGAUGUCAAAUACCCUGCAGCACUGCCAGACCAGGCCUGGGUGCUCUUCAGACGCCAAAGAGACGCAGAGUAUGUUCUGAGGCAGCCCGACAGGGUGAUUACCAUUAAUGAGCAGCCAUUUCUUAUUCAGCUGAAGAAGUUUGAGGACAUGGAGCUCCCAGGUGGUGUUGAAGGUGAGAAAGCUAAAGUGUUUAGGAGCAUCUUGAGUCUGGAAGGGUGCAGUUUCAGCUCCACGGAUGUUCUGGAAGCAGUGCAGUCAUGCCGAGACUUCCCCUCUGCUCUGAAAUAUCUCUGCCAUGAUUGCCCUAUAUGCCAGGAGCAAGUGUCCUUCAAUAGGAUGGUCACCAUGACACACUGCUCUUGCACAUUCUGUGAGAGCUGUUUUAAGAAGUACUUCUCCUCUGUCAUUAAGGAGAAGAAUAUAGUACAUGCUGUGUGUCCACUCUGUAAUCUUCCUGAUGUACAAAGAGGCCGCAGGGAGGAGUCUAUGGAGUACUUCGGUCUACUCGACACACAGAUCAAGUAUUAUUUGGACCCCCAGAUCCAUGAGCUCUUCCAGAGGAAGCUCAGAGACCAGGCACUUCAGGAAAUGCCCAACUUCCGCUGGUGUGCACAUUGCUGCUUUGGGCUCCUUCAUGAAGCAAACAGGCUGAGGAUGGAUUGCCCCAGCUGUGGGAAAAGCACAUGCUUUCAGUGUAAAAGGCCGUGGGCUCCACAACAUGAAGGAAUCUCAUGUGAGAAGUUCAAAGAGUGGGAGCAACUCAACAGCCCCGAGUACCAGAACUCAAGGCUGGAGCAGCUCCUCAGCAGGAACAAAAUAGACUGUCCAAAAUGCAAAUUUCGCUUCUUCCUGGCCAGAGGAGGCUGUUUGCAUUUCAAAUGCACUCAGUGCCAGCACGAAUUCUGCGGUGGCUGCAGUCAGCCAUUUAAACAAGGCUCUGCCUGUACUUUUUCUACUGAGUGUGGAGCUAAGGGUUUACAUGCUCAUCACCCUCGAAACUGCCUGUAUCAUCUGAGAGACUGGAGUGUCCCAAGACUAAGGACCCUGCUGCAGCACUAUGGGGUAUCACAUCCUCUCAUGUUCAGCCCCAAAAAUACAGCAGGGAGACACUCUAAAGGUAUUUGUGGUGUAAUGGAGUUCCAGGAAUCAGGAGCUCUGAAGGAAGAGCCAUGUGGACGAACAGCUCUCCCAGAGUACAGUGGUUACUGCAUGGUACAUUAUAAAGAGUGUCUGGUGGAGUUAAUAAACAGCAAUGCACUGGACCCUGUGGUACUGUUAGGUGGUGCAGAGUUGAAGGCAGAAAUGGAGCGCUGGAAAGUGCCUGUCCCAGAAAAACAACCUUCAGAACCAGAUCAACGAUACGAGGACAGACUUCGGCAGGUUAGUGCAUACUGGCAUCAAAUCAUUCCUGUUACUAUGUAGAGUAAAGCAUAAUUUGUGCACUGACAUAUCCUGUCAUUUAAAUCACAUUUUUGCUGUUUUUUUUUAUUUUUUAUUAAGGGACUUAACUAAUUGAAAAUUUGUAUGCAAUAGAAUGAAUAUUUUUGUGGUUUUCAUUGCACCAACGUAAAGGUGCGUUCUGUUGUUCCUUAGCUUACUGUAGAAUUGCUGUUGUCAUACUUUAAUUUCUUAUACCCUCAACAGUUCACUGCCAUCUAUCAAUGUGUAUCGGAGUUUUCUGUACAUUACACUGGUACUGGUUUCAUAGAACUUCCUACACAAUAAUUACUUCACUUACCUGUCUAACACAAAAAACUACUUUGCCAUUAUUACUUUUUCCAUCAACUUGUAUAAGCCGUACCAAUUUUUCCUUGGUUUCAACAUUUUUUAAUUUUAUUUUUUAUUUUUACCGCUGCAGAGGUACCGAUUCCGUUGUCUCUACUGAUAAAGCACAAUUAUAAAUGUGUUUGUUUUUCUAAUUUAUGCUUUUCAUAUCACCAAACAACACUAAGCUACUAGCCUAUCUACAAAAGGAAGCAUGAGGAUUUUCUCCCACGUUAAGUGGAAAACUGCAGGACACUUCAUUUCAACAUGAUCUUAAAAGAGAGGGUUAGUCUGACCAGCGGUGCAGCUCCUGGAUUGAAGGCAGUUGCUCCUCCCAC